CUCGCUCUCUCUCACACACACACACACACCAGGUCAUUGAUUGUAUUUGUCAUUCUUUCUUGUUCAUUGAUUUAAUAGACCUCAUGAAUCAUAUCUCAGUUUAAAACUAAAAGGUCAGAGACCUGCUGCAGGCCUAAAUCAAAGAGAAACUACAGACUCUCUAGGCGAUGCUGCUUAGAGGAAGGAGGAGGGUUUAAGUGCUGCAGUGGAACAGCAACAAUCUCACACCUCUGUGUGGUAUGAUGGGACAAAUAGCUCUUCUGUGGCUGCUCCUUCUGAUGUUUCUGCUUUGCCACACAACAAACCUGUCACGGUCUGGCUGGCAGACCGUGGGGAUAUGGGGAAUGAGGACCCAAGAUGCAGGACUUUGUGAUGAAGGCAGUGCGUUUAUUUACAGUGGUGUAAAUAGUCACAGAAUCAACCCCGUGUUUUCCCCUUGACUUCCGUGUCGUGUCUUCACCCACAAGUCCGUGCUCCGUGCUCUUCUGCUCCGCUGCGUCCCCGCACCCCAUGCUCGUUGCUCUUGUCUUCCCUGCUCCUUCCUGGAGAAAAUAACAAAGAGGCAACUGUUCAGGACACUCGAUUACUGCAGGCAUGCACUCACUGGACUAUACAUUACUCGACACUAACGUGGCGUUUCACACAACGAUCCCACGCUGAGGAGCGCUCAGCCACAGUCUUAAGAAGCUCCCCAACGACGCUCCAUUAGCUGCAGGUGUGUGAGUCAUCAUCUGCUUCAGGUGUGGCCAUCCUCUAGGUAGGGCACGCCCACCAGGCCUACCUGAACCCAGUACUCAGCCACACUCACAGACACACCCACUUGCCUAUACAUACAAGGACGGGAAUACAAGAACAGCAGCAGUGCAGACAACACACAAACAUCACAUAAUAACAGCAAUGAUUAUAAUAGUAGUCCACACUGCCCACGGACCCUAAAUCCCUGGAGCUGGGUCCGUGACAAAACCAAGCUCGUCUGACUGUGAGUCCCAGCAGCUCUCAGGUCUUAAAAGGAGACUUUGUGUCUCUGAGCUGUGAGGAGGACGACAGCUCUGCUGGAUGGACUCUGAGGAGAAACACAAGCAAAGAAACCAGGACUCAGUGUGGAGAGUGGGGAGAAGCAGCUCAUUCUUUCUGUAACAUCUCUGGCUUCCACAAACUGGACAGUGGAGUUUACUGGUGUGAGUCCAGAGAGGGUCCCAUCAGUAACAUGGUUAACCUGACAGUCACUGGAAGCAGCCUACAAGUCACAUGACCAUCCAGCAUGUUUCCAGGUCUGAUGAAGGCCUCUACA
Oreochromis niloticus (Nile tilapia) is the source of this 1291-nucleotide long non-coding RNA. RefSeq lists it as uncharacterized. The record is from RefSeq and is a predicted model, not a curated record. The transcript is spliced from 4 exons. Lineage: Eukaryota; Metazoa; Chordata; Actinopteri; Cichliformes; Cichlidae.